AGCAGACAGGCUCUAAGAACCCUGAAAGUGAAAGUGGUUCCCUUUCCCGUUUUGCAAACCCUGUGAGGUGAUGACAGCUCCCUGCAGAUAGGCCUUUAGCUGAUCAGAUUUCAGGGGCUCCUUUGGUUCCAAGGCCAAGUUCUCAUCCUGUGUCACAGCGGAGGGUUGGCUUAGAGGCGAGCCCAGAUGGCCAGGGUGAGUGUACAAAGGCUCCUCUCCCUGAAUCCUCCCCAUCGCCUCCUCAGGCAGCCGGAGGCCAGCUGCUCUCACGCGGGCCUGGUCUGGAAUUUAUUUCAACCUUUUCACAAGGACGAAUUCAUGAAAGAAACAUGGGGCAGUGUUUGGAAGGCUAUCAAGAUUUCUGAAACUUAUCAACAUGUUCAAUGAAAAUGAGCAGCGGGUUUGGACUCCCAACUGAAGAAAUCACAUUGUUUCAUCCUGUGCCUCUGUAAGUUAAUCA
This 460-nucleotide long non-coding RNA is filed under the name Mustela putorius furo (domestic ferret). Its description in RNAcentral is "lncRNA (ENSMPUG00000024132.1)". Lineage: Eukaryota; Metazoa; Chordata; Mammalia; Carnivora; Mustelidae. The record is from RNAcentral.